Oncorhynchus keta (chum salmon) is the source of this 3157-nucleotide long non-coding RNA. RefSeq lists it as uncharacterized. The record is from RefSeq and is a predicted model, not a curated record. NCBI's taxonomy places the organism in Eukaryota, Metazoa, Chordata, Actinopteri, Salmoniformes, Salmonidae. The transcript has 3 exons.
UUGACUUCGACUAGCUACGUUCAGGCAAUAUCCUUUGCAAAUGCCUUAUUACUGACAAAAGUACGCAUAACAAAAGAUAUGCAAACGAGUAAAGGGAGACGUAAAGUAAAAAAUUGAACGUGUAAAUGUUAAUUCAUAGUAGUAACAGAUCUAAUUUAACGUUUACGUUUAAUGUUUCAUGCAUGGAUUUUCUUACCAUCCUAACGAUACGUACGUUCAACCUUUUGGCAGCUAUCUCGCUCCAUAUCUUUGGGACAUCUCUAACCCCUAUCUAACCUUAAUCAUUUUAACUUCAGUGGGGGGUCGGGAUGUUCCAAGGAUUCCGGAUAGCACCCACAUUUUGAUUACACAAAGAGGUUGUUUCACCAGCCCAAAUUAAUUUAACUUUUUGGUAUUAUGAUCAAUUUGAUUUAUUGUACAUGGGUUAGCUCUGGACUCUCACUAAAUAUAUAAAAAAAUGUGGCAAUUUGUAGUCGACUGAAAAAAAAGUAGUUGACACCUAUUUUAAUAAGUGCAAUAAGAUGAUCAGUACCACGGGGCGAAAGGUAGCCUAGUGGUUAGUGUUGGGCCAGUAACCGCAAUGCAGUUGUAUCGAAUCCCUGAGCUGACAAGGUAAAACAUCUGUCGUUCUGCCCCUGAGCAAGCCAGGCUGAUGAGGAUGAGCAAGCCAGGCUGGUGGGCAAGCCAGGCUGAUGAGGAUGAGCAAGCCAGGCUGGUGGGCUUGUGGGCAAGCCAUGCUGUCAUUGUAAUACGAAUUUGUUCUUAAACUGAGUGGUCCAAUUACAUUAAAAACAAAUACCUUGGCGCCCAUUGACAACUGCGAGUCGAGGACAUUUCUGGUUGCGACAUAUCGACGUUUGCAACCAAGAAUAGCACUUGCCAAACACGCCAGCGUGUUUUCUUUCUUUUCUGAAGUCAUGGCGGGACCUUUAAACGCUAGAGGACCAUGGAAAAAUAUAUUUCCUCAGGGAGCGACCUAUGCUCUCCCAAGGGAUGCAACACAUUUUGCCUGAUGUGGACCAUAAAUGAGCAUUGUUCAGGUGGUCGGGAAUGGGAUUCCAGAGAUGGAUUUUGCCAGGGUUGACAAAAUGUGGUGGGACCACCCUCCACCACUAUCUGCAGCUCAGUAGAGAUGAAGAGGUACUUUUCCCAUCCUCUGCUGCUCUGGAUGCCCAGGAAGCUCUGGCAGGUUAAGCUGUAUUGCCUGCAUUCUGUGCAGUAGGAAGGUCAUCAGUUGGAACAUAUGGUUCCUUACACUGUUCCACGCAAAUACACUGGAGAGCUGAUAGGUUUGGAGUACCUCCUCAAUCAGACUGGUUUGGUGCUGCAGGAUCACAAGGCUGCCAUUGAGGAACUAGAGACAGGUGAUUCUGAUGUCCAAGGGGAGGAUGAUGAGGGCUUUGUGGAGCUUGUGGAAUUUCAGGGCCUGACAGUUCCAGUGGUGGAGACAGCCCUGCCUCUUGUUGGCACCUUUCGUCCUACUCCCACUCCCUCUACCAGCACCCAGUCCACAGCUGCAUCAGUCCUCUGUCCUCCACUCCUGUACGGGCUACUCCACCACCUGGGCCUCUGUCCUCCACACUUGUGCUCGUCAGUCCCCUGUCCAACGUUCCUGUUUGGGCUAACAUUACUCCUUAAUCCAUGGACCAUAAAUGUUCUUUUUAAAGUGUGAUUUGGCUCUGGCAGUCAAAACAGCCAAAUACCCCAUCUAACGGAUUGAGAUAGUGAAAUGUUUUGUUGUUUCGGCUCUGUACUCCAGCACUUUGGAUUUGCAAUGAUACAAAGUCAGCUUUAAUUUGAGGGUAUUUUCAUCCAUACGUACUUUUUGUACAUAGUCCCCCCAUUUAAGUGGAACCAAAAGUAUUGGGAUAAAUUAACUUAUGUGUAUUAAAGUAGUCAAAAGUUUAGCAUUUAGUCCCAUAUUCCUAGCACGCAAUGAUUACAUAAAGCUUGUGACUCUACAAACAGUUGCUCUUUGUUUUGGUUGUGUUUCAGAUUAUUUUGUGCCCAAUAGAAAUGACUGGUAAAUAAUGUAUUGUGUCAUUUUAGAGUCACUUAUUGUAAAUAAGAAUAGAAUAUGUUUCUAAACACUUCUACAUUAAUGUGGAUGCUACCAGGACUACGGAUAGCCUGAUGAAUUGUGAUGAAUGAGAGAGUUAGACGCACAAAUAUCAUACCCCCAAGACAUGCUGUAUGACAAGGGCUAUGUUGAGAGGUAGCUUGCAAGUAAGCAUUUCAUUGCACUUUUUACACUGCACUGUAUUCUGUAAUUAUGUAUUAUUAAUACAAUUGGAUUUGAUUUUUGACAGUAAGGAUGCUUUCCAAUUCAACAGACAUAGUUCUAGAAGAAAGUACACCAGGGCUAUACAGUAUCUCUGGACAAAUUUGGCCAGGAGGGCUGUACUGCUCAGAAUUGGCAACCCAGCAACAAGGCACACUUGUUGGAUCAACAUGAGAUGCAGUUCAGCCUUUAGAGGAAGCCCUUCAAGUAGGUUGUUGAAAAUGCUCUGUAGUAUGCUGGGUAUUUGGUGGCAUUGAUGAAGAGUGAUGCAAAAAAACAUGCUGCCAAUCAGAUGACUUUGUAGGAGUCCCAGCAUCCAUUCCACACCUCUAACCGCAUCAGUUCUCUGCUCCUGUACAGACUACUCCACCACCAGCUGGUUCUCUGUCUGUGACCUUGACACCUGUGCCCUGCUGGGCCUCUGUUUAUGAUUUCCACACCUGUGCCCGGCUGGACCUCUGUUCAUGCUCUCCACACCUGUGUCCGGCUGGGCCUCUGUUCAUGAUCUCCACAUCUGUUCCCAGUUGGGCCUCUGUCUGUGCCCGACACCUAUGCUCCUCUGCUCCUUACAGGCUCGGCAUUCUGAUGGAGCCAGUGAUCAGGCGCUAUAUAUAAUUGUAAUUAUUUGUGUUCAAUUGUUUGUCCCUCUGGUGUCUAAAGUAUCCUCCCCUUAAAUCACUAAGGGCACAAAAGCCCUUAGCUGAAUUCUCGAAUUACAUUUUGAUCAAUUAAUGUCCGUCUUUGAAAGCUCCAUUGUAUAAACUUUUUAAUGUUCCUGCUUGUGUGCCUUGUGCACUGAUAUAAAACAAUUAGGGUAUAUUUGUCAUUCUUACGUCUUCCUUCAAUUCUGUCUUCAAUUACUUUCUUGAUUUUACA